This 974-nucleotide long non-coding RNA is filed under the name Nicotiana benthamiana. RNAcentral's name for it is "long non-coding RNA (NBEN_LNC037783)". Lineage: Eukaryota; Viridiplantae; Streptophyta; Magnoliopsida; Solanales; Solanaceae. The record is from RNAcentral.
GCAGUUAUUUACAAGAGAAGCAAGAAAAUUAUGCUUCAGAACCCUGUCUAUAUCGAUUUUUAAAUAAGUACGAUUCACUUCUAAAUCCAGCUAAUUAAAUUCUAUGAUGUAAUUAUGUUAUACUCCCUCUGUCCCAUUUGACGUGACGUGCUUUUCUCUUUUGUCUAUCCCAACAAGAACGAUACUUUUCUCGUUUUGGAAACUAUUUAAUCUUUGUAUCCCAUUUUACCCUUAAUGACAUGACUUGUUGGGAUCUAGUUGAAUAAACGUUCAUCCUUGUAUAAGGAGAGAAAAAAUGCAUGACAUGUGGAACUCUCACCAAAACCCGUCUAAAAGGAUACUUUCAGUACUUCACAUAUCUUUGGCUUACAUGUUAAAAGCCUUUUUUAGUUUCUUAAGUUCCUGACCCAAUCAAGCGCCUCCACAUAAAAUGGUACAGAGGGGUUUAAUCCAGGACAAAUGUCAAGUAAGUGAAGCCACUUACUUAUAUUGCAGGUCUAACUUCAAAGACAGAUGCAUGAAAUUACAAAAUUCAUGAAAGAUGGUUUCCAGUGGAAAACCCAGGUUAAUUAACACUUUCAUGUCUGAACUUAUCUAAAGCAUUAAACUACAGCAUACGACUAUAUAGGCAAUGCAAGUCCAAUAAACACCUGAGCCACCACUCUAUGACCUCUAUAAUCAAUUAUCGCCAUAGCAAGGUUGUAUAAUCCAGGGACAUCAGCUUCCUGAUAUGAUUUUGUGCCUUUCAAGUCAUUAUUUGCACUUGCAGUGGAUGAAAGGAUCUGAGCCACCACUCUAUGACCUCUAUAAUCAACUAUCGCCAUAGCAAGGUUGUAUAAUCCAGGGACAUCAGCUUCCUGAUAUGAUUUUGUGCCUUUCAAGUCAUUAUUUGCACUUGCAUAAGUGGCUUGCUCACUUUCUGCCAACUGCGUUUCACCAGGCACUCCGGGAGGACAAUCCAAGUUGAUGUUUAC